CCUACGGGCGGCAGCAGUGGGGAAUAUUGCACAAUGGGGGAAACCCUGAUGCAGCAACGCCGCGUGAAGGAAGACGGUUUUCGGAUUGUAAACUUCUGUUCUUAGUGAAGAAUAAUGACGGUAGCUAAGGAGCAAGCCACGGCUAACUACGUGCCAGCAGCCGCGGUAAUACGUAGGUGGCAAGCGUUGUCCGGAAUUACUGGGUGUAAAGGGAGCGCAGGCGGGAAGCCAAGUCAGCUGUGAAAUCCUGCGGCUUAACCGCAGAACUGCAUUUGAAACUGUUGAUCUUGAGUACUGGAGAGGCAGACGGAAUUCCUAGUGUAGCGGUGAAAUGCGUAGAUAUUAGGAGGAACACCAGUGGCGAAGGCGGUCUGCUGGACAGCAACUGACGGUGAGGCGCGAAAGCGUGGGGAGCAAACAGGAUUAGAUACCCCAGUAGUC
This 441-nucleotide ribosomal RNA is filed under the name uncultured bacterium. Its description in RNAcentral is "partial 16S ribosomal RNA". It matches the Rfam family "Bacterial small subunit ribosomal RNA", at positions 338 to 795 of the family's 1533-position model. The record is from RNAcentral.